RNAcentral lists this ribosomal RNA (1353 nucleotides) under uncultured bacterium. Its description in RNAcentral is "bacterial SSU rRNA". It matches the Rfam family "Bacterial small subunit ribosomal RNA", at positions 28 to 1381 of the family's 1533-position model. The record is from RNAcentral.
GAUGAACGCUAGCGGCAGGCCUAAUACAUGCAAGUCGAACGAUAGUUACCAGCUUGCUGGUAACGAAAAGUGGCGCACGGGUGCGUAACGCGUAUGCAACCUACCUUAUUCAGGGGGAUAGCCCGAAGAAAUUCGGAUUAACACCGCAUAAAAUCACAGAACAGCAUUGUUUAAUGAUCAAAUAUUUAUAGGAAUAAGAUGGGCAUGCGUGUCAUUAGCUAGUUGGCGGGGUAACGGCCCACCAAGGCGACGAUGACUAGGGGAUCUGAGAGGAUGACCCCCCACACUGGUACUGAGACACGGACCAGACUCCUACGGGAGGCAGCAGUAAGGAAUAUUGGUCAAUGGAGGCAACUCUGAACCAGCCAUGCCGCGUGCAGGAAGACAGCCCUCUGGGUCGUAAACUGCUUUUAUUCGGGAAUAAACCUUAUUACGUGUAAUAAGCUGAAUGUACCGAAGGAAUAAGGAUCGGCUAACUCCGUGCCAGCAGCCGCGGUAAUACGGAGGAUCCAAGCGUUAUCCGGAUUUAUUGGGUUUAAAGGGUGCGUAGGCGGCUUAUUAAGUCAGGGGUGAAAGACGGUGGCUCAACCAUCGCAGUGCCCUUGAUACUGAUGAGCUUGAAUGAACUAGAGGUAGGCGGAAUGUGACAAGUAGCGGUGAAAUGCAUAGAUAUGUCACAGAACACCGAUUGCGAAGGCAGCUUACUAUGGUUUUAUUGACGCUGAGGCACGAAAGCGUGGGGAUCAAACAGGAUUAGAUACCCUGGUAGUCCACGCCCUAAACGAUGAAUACUCGCUGUUAGCGAUAUACAGUUAGCGGCUAAGCGAAAGCGUUAAGUAUUCCACCUGGGGAGUACGCCCGCAAGGGUGAAACUCAAAGGAAUUGACGGGGGCCCGCACAAGCGGAGGAGCAUGUGGUUUAAUUCGAUGAUACGCGAGGAACCUUACCCGGGCUUGAAAGUUAGUGAAUGAUUUAGAGAUAGAUCAGUGAGCAAUCACACGAAACUAGGUGCUGCAUGGCUGUCGUCAGCUCGUGCCGUGAGGUGUUGGGUUAAGUCCCGCAACGAGCGCAACCCCUAUGUUUAGUUGCCAGCACGUUAAGGUGGGGACUCUAAACAGACUGCCUGUGCAAACAGAGAGGAAGGAGGGGACGACGUCAAGUCAUCAUGGCCCUUACGUCCGGGGCUACACACGUGCUACAAUGGAUGGUACAGAGGGCAGCAAGCUGGUAACAGCAAGCAAAUCUCAAAAAGCCAUUCACAGUUCGGAUAGAGGUCUGCAACUCGACCUCUUGAAGUUGGAUUCGCUAGUAAUCGCGUAUCAGCAAUGACGCGGUGAAUACGUUCCCGGGCCU